GAUGAACGCUGGCGGCGUGCCUAAUACAUGCAAGUCGAGCGAACAGACGAGGAGCUUGCUCCUCUGACGUUAGCGGCGGACGGGUGAGUAACACGUGGAUAACCUACCUAUAAGACUGGGAUAACUUCGGGAAACCGGAGCUAAUACCGGAUAAUAUAUUGAACCGCAUGGUUCAAUAGUGAAAGACGGUUUUGCUGUCACUUAUAGAUGGAUCCGCGCCGCAUUAGCUAGUUGGUAGGUAACGGCUUACCAAGGCGACGAUGCGUAGCCGACCUGAGAGGGUGAUCGGCCACACUGGAACUGAGACACGGUCCAGACUCCUACGGGAGGCAGCAGUAGGGAAUCUUCCGCAAUGGGCGAAAGCCUGACGGAGCAACGCCGCGUGAGUGAUGAAGGUCUUCGGAUCGUAAAACUCUGUUAUUAGGGAAGAACAAAUGUGUAAGUAACUAUGCACGUCUUGACGGUACCUAAUCAGAAAGCCACGGCUAACUACGUG
This 496-nucleotide ribosomal RNA is filed under the name uncultured bacterium. RNAcentral's name for it is "partial 16S ribosomal RNA". It matches the Rfam family "Bacterial small subunit ribosomal RNA", at positions 28 to 507 of the family's 1533-position model. The record is from RNAcentral.